Molecule: long non-coding RNA, 1025 nt
Organism: Macadamia integrifolia
Lineage: Eukaryota; Viridiplantae; Streptophyta; Magnoliopsida; Proteales; Proteaceae
Exons: 3
Source: RefSeq, a predicted model, not a curated record
CAUCCACUUCCGGCGAGAUUAAGCCCAGAGGUCCGACACAUCCACUUCUAGCUGUUCCUCUCGUAGUGCUUGGCCGAGAGAGAAGUCCUCCGAAGUCCGAAGUCCGAAGUCCGAAGUCCGAAGUACUAGCUUCAAACCGAUCAUGGCAUUUGCCAAAGAUUUAAAUUCAAAGUUCAAACCGCCUUUCCAUUUGCUGAAGAUUUGAAAAGCACACUGUUCAUCUUACGACGGCCAGUUCGCUCACUCUCUCCACUAGCGAGAUCGGACAGCGUUCAAGGGAGGAAGCAAAGCGUGGGGCGAGAGAGAGAGAGGCAGAGGCAGAGGCAGAGGCGAGGGCGAGAGAGAGACAACGCAUCUACCAAGCAGCGGUAACGUGAUGAACCCACCGCGAGCCAUCCCCUUUCUCUCCGGCGACGAAAACGGAUAAUAAGGUUGGCCAAUCAUUUAUUCCAUACAUGAUUGCAAAGUAGCCAAGACUACCAAAUUCGGAGAUUGCACAGAACGCAACCAAUCGACUCGUGGCAAGCCUAUCUACAACUAACUUGGUAACGAUCAUUUGGGCCGAAACCAUCAAAUCGAUCCAACACUGAAUCCAACUUAUGCUCAGCAAUUUCAACAGAUGUGCCCAAGAAAUGUAGACCCAAGAGUUGCCAUGAACAUGGAUCCUACGACUCCUAGAACUUUUGACAAUGCCUACUUCAAGAACCUCCAGAGAGGGAUGGGGUUGUUUACCUCUGAUCAAGUAUUGUUUACAGAUUCAAGAUCAAGGAACGUUAUCAAUUUCUUUGCAUCAAACAACACAGCUUUCCAAGAGUUCUUUGUUACUGUCAUCACCAACCUCGGAAGGGUUGGUGUUAAGACCGGAAGUUUAACACAGUGAAAAUCGCCGUGAUUGCAGUGCUGUGAAUUAGAGGAGAGGUUGUUAACACAUGAUGAGCUACUGUAGAUUUUAACUCUUCUAUUAUCUCGUCAUUUUCUUCAACGAGUUCAUUGAUCUGCAUUUCUCCAGUAGAGCGAGAACGGGG